This 499-nucleotide ribosomal RNA is filed under the name uncultured bacterium. RNAcentral's name for it is "partial 16S ribosomal RNA". It matches the Rfam family "Bacterial small subunit ribosomal RNA", at positions 28 to 507 of the family's 1533-position model. The record is from RNAcentral.
GACGAACGCUGGCGGCGUGCUUAACACAUGCAAGUCGAACGGGCCCGCCCCUGUUUUUGGGGGUGGGUUGAGUGGCGAACGGGUGAGUAUCACGUGAGUAACCUGCCCCCUGCUCCUGGAUAACUGCUUGAAAGGGCGGCUAAUACGGGGUGUGCCGGCUGGUCCGCAUGGGCCUGGUCGGGAUAGUUUCAUCUUCGGGUGUUUCGGUGGGGGAUGGGCUCGCGGCCUAUCAGCUUGUUGGUGGGGUGAUGGCCCACCAAGGCGGUGACGGGUAGCCGGCCUGAGAGGGUGGGCGGCCACACUGGGACUGAGGCACGGCCCAGACUCCUGCGGGAGGCAGCAGUGGGGGGUAUUGCACAAUGGGCGGAAGCCUGAUGCAGCGACGUCGCGUGAGGGAUGGAGGCCUUCGGGUUGUGAACCUCUUUCUCCGGUGGUGAAGGCCCUGUCCGUUGCGGCGGGGUUGACGGUAGCCGGGUAUGAAGCGCCGGCUAACUACGUG